CCCUCUCCAAUUUUUUAAAUUUUAAACUUUUUUUUUAUAUUUUGACAUAAAAUAUAAAAUAUAAACCUCCCGCCUCCUGAGAGUUUUUAAAAUUUAGCGAUGAGAAUCAAGGAAUUUAUUUUAUAUGGCCUUAAUAUUUCUGUGAUUUCCAAAGUGAAGUGUCACAAACCAAAAUGAACAUAUUUCUCCACGAACAAUGACUGAACCCUUCAACUGAAUGCGAAGUUCCGUUAAAAUGCAAUGAAAUUUCUUUCAAGGUUCUAUUUGUUUGAAAUUGGCAGUUUAAAAUGGCACUAAAAACCCAAUUUUAAAUAUAAUUUGUCGGGCGGUUCAUUUAUAUUGUAUAACAAAAUAUAAAAAAAUUUCACGCUGCUCUUACUGCCAUUUGCGUUCAAGCUUGCAGCGUGCAAAUUUUUUCACGUUUGUUUACGUUUCAAACGUAACGUUUCAAAGGUUAUCACGCCCGUUUGGCAGAUGAAAUGUAUACCUGUCGCGAUUUAGGAAGAGCAUAUUUGCGUUGGGUUUUCAGUUGGCCCAACAACCCCCAACGCUUAAUUAGUUAUUCCAGAAUCUUGUGACAAUGCCUAUUGCCUAAAACUUAAUACUUCAUGUUAGGUUGUCAAGGACCGGAACAACUGGGGGGUGUAACACCCUCAAAGAAAGGUCAAGGAAGGGGGUCCAACUUGCUCACAGGAUGAGGGGGGGGGUUAAUACUGGAAUAAACCCAACAGGCACAACAGACCCAACAAGCACAACAAAACCCAGCAGCACAACAGACCCAACAGGCACAACAGACCCAACAAACCCAACGGACCCAACAGGCACAACAAACCCAACAGGCACAAUAGACCCAACAAACCCAACAGGCACAACAAACCCAACAGGCACAACAGACCCAACAAACCCAACAGCACAACAGACCUAACAGGCACAACAGACCCAACAAACACAACAAAACCCAACAGCACAACAGACCCAAAAAAACCCAACAGGCACAACAGACCCAACAGGCACAACAGACCCAACAGGCACAACAGGCACAACAGACCCAACAGGCACAACAGACCCAACAGGCACAACAGACCCAACAGACCCAACAAAACCCAACAGCACAACAGACCCAACAAAACCCAACAGAUUGAAAAAAGCCAACAAAACCCAACAGAUUAAAAAAGCCCAACAGACACAACAAAACCCAACAGAUUAAAAAAAACCCCAGCAAAACCCAACAGAUUAAAAAAACCCCAACAGAUUAAAAAAGACCCAACAGAUUAAAAAAGACCAACAGACCCAACAAAACCCAACAGCACAACAGACCCAACAAAACCCAACAGAUUAAAAAAGCCAACAGAUUAAAGAUUAAAAAAAGCCAACAGACCCAACAUAUUAAAAAAACGCAACAAAACCCAACAGAUUAAAAAACCCAACAGCACAACAGACCCAACAGAUUAAAAAAACCCAACAGAUUAAAAAACCCAACAGCACAGCAGACCCAACAAAACCCAACAGAUUAAAAAAACCAACAGAUUAAAAAGCCCAACAGACCCAACAAAACCCAACAGAUUAAAAAAAAAAACCAACGCACAACAGACACAACAAGACCCAACAGAUUAAAAAAAAGCCAACAGACCCAACAAAAUCCAACUGAUUCAAAAACCCAACGCACAGCAAAACCGAACACACUCUUCAGGCUAUUUUCAUGUUGCGCGCAAUGCUAUUAACUAAGGUAAUUCAUGACCAAGUGCUUGACGUGUAUUUUCGUGUAUUUAUUUAAUAUCUAAUAUUUUCCAAAUCAAAAAAUAAAGAAAAUAACUAUUCAAAAAGUGAGAAAUGUGUGAUAGUGCAUACAGUAAUCUACAAUUUCGGAGUACUGAGGUGAAUUUUCAUUAGAUGAUCAAUUACAGCUGCCCUUUCAACUACAACUUUGCAGAUAAAUUUAAUGUCUUUAAUUCAAACCGCAAACGCAGAAAAUAUAUUUUGUUUUCGUUUGAAUUUUAGGGUAUUGUAGAUGGACAUUAUCGAGUCGAUAAUAAUUUCCAUCUUCAAUAUACCCUUCAACGAAUAUUCAUUAGCAUAAUUUCAGUAAUAAAAAUGACCUUUGAGCAUUCUGAUUGGCUCCCUCAGCAGUAAAUCUGAGGCAAUAGUUACUGCUCAGACAGCUUUAGGCAGUUUAUGCAAAUUAUAUUCAUAAAAUAUGUAAACAUGUUAAGGUGGCUCGAUACAGUUUUCAAAAAUUCAGGUGUUCAACACUUUGACAUGUUCAAACUACGCAUUUUUAGGAUUUAUUCAACAGAUAUUGAGGUUUUUAUAUAUUUUGAUCUCUACUUUCAAAUUAUAUUAGUUUUAGUAACAGAUAGUUCGUUGCUAUGACGACAUACGUAUACGAAAUUCACUCCAAAUCGUCUCGUUUUGUUCGAAAAGAAGCAUGGUGACCCCCAAUUUGUUUUCUUGCAUUAUUUUACUUGGACGAAAAGUUAACAAUUAGCAAAAUAUAAAAAAAUUCUGUAAUACCAUUUUUUUGGAAAAUGUCAUAUUCUUCGG
Molecule: long non-coding RNA, 2541 nt
Filed under: Paramuricea clavata
Lineage: Eukaryota; Metazoa; Cnidaria; Anthozoa; Malacalcyonacea; Plexauridae
Source: RNAcentral